GGAGAGAUGCCCGAGUGGCCGAAGGGGUACGACUGGAAAUCGUAUGUACAAUAAAAUGUACCGAGGGUUCGAAUCCCUCUCUCUCCGCCA
Molecule: transfer RNA, 90 nt
Filed under: Deltaproteobacteria bacterium GWB2_55_19
Lineage: Bacteria; Deltaproteobacteria
Also listed under: 2 other names
Description: tRNA-Ser
Rfam family: tRNA
About the family: Transfer RNA (tRNA) molecules are approximately 80 nucleotides in length.
Source: RNAcentral